Molecule: ribosomal RNA, 261 nt
Filed under: uncultured bacterium
Lineage: Bacteria
Description: partial 16S ribosomal RNA
Rfam family: Bacterial small subunit ribosomal RNA
Source: RNAcentral
UUGCUUUUCUGAAUCUAGUGGCGAACGGGUGAGUAACACGUGAGCAACCUGCCUUUCAGAGGGGGAUAACGGCUGGAAACGGUCGCUAAUACCGCAUGACGUGUUCGGAUGGCAUCAUCUGAACAUCAAAGAUUUAUCGCUGAAAGAUGGGCUCGCGUCUGAUUAGAUAGUUGGUGGGGUAAUGGCCUACCAAGUCGACGAUCAGUAGCCGACCUGAGAGGGUGACCGGCCACAUUGGGACUGAGACACGGCCCAGACUCC